GUGGGGAAUAUUGGACAAUGGGCGAAAGCCUGAUCCAGCCAUGCCGCGUGUGUGAAGAAGGUCUUCGGAUUGUAAAGCACUUUAAGUUGGGAGGAAGGGCAGUAAGUUAAUACCUUGCUGUUUUGACGUUACCGACAGAAUAAGCACCGGCUAACUUCGUGCCAGCAGCCGCGGUAAUACGAAGGGUGCAAGCGUUAAUCGGAAUUACUGGGCGUAAAGCGCGCGUAGGUGGUUUUGUAAGUUGAAGGUGAAAUCACCGGGCUCAACCUGGGAACUGCCUCCAAAACUGCAUGACUAGAGUACGGUAGAGGGUAGUGGAAUUUCCUGUGUAGCGGUGAAAUGCGUAGAUAUAGGAAGGAACACCAGUGGCGAAGGCGACUACCUGGACUGAUACUGACACUGAGGUGCGAAAGCGUGGGGAGCAAACAGGAUUAGAUACCCUUGUAGUCC
This 450-nucleotide ribosomal RNA is filed under the name uncultured bacterium. RNAcentral describes it as "bacterial SSU rRNA". It matches the Rfam family "Bacterial small subunit ribosomal RNA", at positions 354 to 796 of the family's 1533-position model. The record is from RNAcentral.